RNAcentral lists this ribosomal RNA (468 nucleotides) under uncultured bacterium. RNAcentral's name for it is "partial 16S ribosomal RNA". It matches the Rfam family "Bacterial small subunit ribosomal RNA", at positions 28 to 507 of the family's 1533-position model. The record is from RNAcentral.
GACGAACGCUGGCGGCGUGCUUAACACAUGCAAGUCGAACGGAAAGGCCCUGCUUUUGUGGGGUGCUCGAGUGGCGAACGGGUGAGUAACACGUGAGUAACCUGCCCUUGACUUUGGGAUAACUUCAGGAAACUGGGGCUAAUACCGGAUAGGAGCUCCUGCUGCAUGGUGGGGGUUGGAAAGUUUCGGCGGUUGGGGAUGGACUCGCGGCUUAUCAGCUUGUUGGUGGGGUAGUGGCUUACCAAGGCUUUGACGGGUAGCCGGCCUGAGAAGGUGACCGGCCACAUUGGGACUGAUAUACGGCCCAGACUCCUACGGGAGGCAGCAGUGGGGAAGAUUGCACAAUGGGCGGAAGCCUGAUGCAGCAACGCCGCGGGCGGGAUGACGGCCUUCGGGUUGUAAACCGCUUUCGCCUGUGACGAAGCGUGAGUGACGGUAAUGGGUAAAGAAGCACCGGCUAACUACGUG